GCCGGCAUGGUGGAAUGGUAGACACGGUAGACUCAAAAUCUACUGCCCGCGAGGGUGUAAGAGUUCAAGUCUCUUUGCCGGUAC
Molecule: transfer RNA, 84 nt
Filed under: Spirochaetia bacterium
Lineage: Bacteria; Pseudomonadati; Spirochaetota; Spirochaetia
Description: tRNA-Leu
Rfam family: tRNA
About the family: Transfer RNA (tRNA) molecules are approximately 80 nucleotides in length.
Source: RNAcentral